GUGACUUAUUGAAAUAUUAACUUCAUGUUUAUUUUCUUACUACCUUCAAAUGUUUAUAUAAAAAGGGUUGUACUUGUGCUCUGUAUUUAUGGAUUAAUAUCACUUCACAUUGAGGGCAUGUGUCACUACUGGUGCUCCUAUCUAAAUUAUAUCUUGUGUCCUACCUAACCAUGUAUCACUACUGUUGCUCCUAUCUAAAUUAUAUCUUGUGUCCUACCUAACCAUGUAUCACUACUGUUGCUCCUAUCUAAAUGAUAUAUUGUGUCCUACCUAACCAGUGAACGUGUGGCUGUGACCGUCCUGUCAGUGCCUGUCAUCACUGUUUUAUUUUACUGCAGGUAUGCUUUUCUGUAUUUUGGGGUUAUUUUCUAAACACUUCGCAUGUAUAUUAUACAAUCACUUUGUCGAUUCAGUCUGAGAGCAGUGAACAUGUGGCUGUGACUGUCCUGUCAAUGCCUGUCAUCACUGUUUGGUAUCUUUUACUGCAGAUAAAAACAUGAAGUGUGGGUGUCCGUGUGCCUUUCUUCUGGGGGGCUAUGUGAAGUUGGUUACACCAGGUGAUUGUUUUUGGAAACACUGCUAAUUCAACCAGUAGUGCUAGGUGCCUGUACUACAUAAACACUGCUAAUCCAACAAUAGUGCUAGGUGCCUGUACUACAGAAACACUGCUAAUACAACAAUAGUGUUAGGUGCCUGUACUACAGAAACACUGCUAAUCCAACCGGUAGUGCUAGUUGCCUGUACUAUAGAAACACUGCUAAUCCAACAAUAGUGCUAGGUGCCUGUAUUAUAUAAACACUGCUAAUCCAACAAUAGUGCUAGGUGUCUGUACUACAGAAACACUGCUAAUCCAACAAUAGUGCUAGGUGCCUGUACUAUAUUAACUGCUAAUCCAACAAUAGUGCUAGGUGUCUAUACUAUAUAAACACUGCUAAUCCAACAGUAGUGCUAGGUGCCUGUACUACAGAAACACUGCUAAUCCAACAAUAGUGCUAGGUUCCUGCACACUUGAUUAAAG
Molecule: long non-coding RNA, 1018 nt
Filed under: Salmo salar (Atlantic salmon)
Lineage: Eukaryota; Metazoa; Chordata; Actinopteri; Salmoniformes; Salmonidae
Description: lncRNA (ENSSSAG00000086405.1)
Source: RNAcentral